GAGUUUGAUCCUGGCUCAAGAGUAAGUCGUAAGCAAGGUGACCAAAAAAUUGGGAUCACUCCGGGAAACCGGGGCUAAUACCGGAUAAAAUUUUGAACCGCAUGGUUCGAAAUUGAAAGGCGGCUUCGGCUGUCACUUAUGGAUGGACCCGCGUCGCAUUAGCUAGUUGGUGAGGUAACGGCUCACCAAGGCAACGAUGCGUAGCCGACCUGAGAGGGUGAUCGGCCACACUGGGACUGAGACACGGCCCAGACUCCUACGGGAGGCAGCAGUAGGGAAUCUUCCGCAAUGGACGAAAGUCUGACGGAGCAACGCCGCGUGAGUGAUGAAGGCUUUCGGGUCGUAAAACUCUGUUGUUAGGGAAGAACAAGUGCUAGUUGAAUAAGCUGGCACCUUGACGGUACCUAACCAGAAAGCCACGGCUAACUACGUGCCAGCAGCCGCGGUAAUACGUAGGUGGCAAGCGUUAUCCGGAAUUAUUGGGCGUAAAGCGCGCGCAGGUGGUUUCUUAAGUCUGAUGUGAAAGCCCACGGCUCAACCGUGGAGGGUCAUUGGAAACUGGGAGACUUGAGUGCAGAAGAGGAAAGUGGAAUUCCAUGUGUAGCGGUGAAAUGCGUAGAGAUAUGGAGGAACACCAGUGGCGAAGGCGACUUUCUGGUCUGUA
Molecule: ribosomal RNA, 664 nt
Filed under: Bacillus thuringiensis
Lineage: Bacteria; Bacillati; Bacillota; Bacilli; Caryophanales; Bacillaceae
Description: bacterial SSU rRNA
Rfam family: Bacterial small subunit ribosomal RNA
Source: RNAcentral